CGUAGGGUGCAAGCGUUGUCCGGAAUUAUUGGGCGUAAAGAGCUCGUAGGCGGUUCGUCGCGUCGGCUGUGAAAACCCGGAGCUCAACUCCGGGCCUGCAGUCGAUACGGGCGGACUUGAGUGUUGCAGGGGAGACUGGAAUUCCUGGUGUAGCGGUGAAAUGCGCAGAUAUCAGGAGGAACACCGGUGGCGAAGGCGGGUCUCUGGGCAACUACUGGCGCUGAGGAGCGAAAGCGUGGGGAGCGAACAGGAUUAGAUACCCUGGUAGUCCACGCCGUAAACGUUGGGCGCUAGGUGUGGGGGCCAUUCCACGGUCUCCGUGCCGCAGCUAACGCAUUAAGCGCCCCGCCUGGGGAGUACGGCCGCAAGGCUA
This 373-nucleotide ribosomal RNA is filed under the name uncultured organism. RNAcentral's name for it is "bacterial SSU rRNA". It matches the Rfam family "Bacterial small subunit ribosomal RNA", at positions 526 to 896 of the family's 1533-position model. The record is from RNAcentral.